This 77-nucleotide transfer RNA is filed under the name Gerrardina foliosa. RNAcentral's name for it is "partial transfer RNA-Leu". It matches the Rfam family "tRNA", at positions 9 to 71 of the family's 71-position model. From Rfam's summary of the family: Transfer RNA (tRNA) molecules are approximately 80 nucleotides in length. Their secondary structure includes four short double-helical elements and three loops (D, anti-codon, and T loops). Lineage: Eukaryota; Viridiplantae; Streptophyta; Magnoliopsida; Huerteales; Gerrardinaceae. The record is from RNAcentral.
GGCGAAAUUGGUAGACGCUACGGACUUAAAAUCCGUCGACUUUAGAAAUCGUGAGGGUUCGAGUCCCUCUAUCCCCA